UUGUGCAAUGGUGGCACUACAAUUCAGAAUUAUUUUCCAGAUGAGCUAUGCUAUUGUGGAGUUUACUGCCUCUAAAGAGGUUGAAAUUGUGCCAACUACUUGGGUCACCGGGAGCAUGUGCGUCUGGCCACAUAAUGUAAAAGUGGAGAAGGCUGGGAAAAUGGCACGGAAGCAGCAUCUACCACAGUCAUGGUGGAAGCUGUAUGAAAUUGCUGUGAAAGGUUUGUUUGGUAAGCGCAUUUCAGUCACCUUAAGUCUUAAGCCAGGGGUGAUUAUAUUGAUCAUAUUUUGCACUUUUUCAGUUACCUAUGAACAUGCCCGGAAAAAGCUAAAUGACAGUCAGUUCCAUUCAGACCUGGCCAGGGAAACUCAAAUGCCCCCAUUGAAGAGGCGUAGACGGCCACCAGCAGCCUGGAGCAACUCUGACAGUGAAGAGAAGGAGGAAGAAACUGCCACAAGCCAGCCAGGACUGCCAGCCAUUCUAAAUAAUUCUCCAUCUGGAAUAACCUCGAAUGAAGCAACAAGUCUGCCCACAUUUGGCCAGGGAGACAAAGGCACACCAGAGACCCAGUUGUCAGAGACAAACUCGCCACAAGGCAUGUCUGAUAACCACUCUGUUGAUGCAGGUAUGUGCCAGAUAAGCGAGGUCAAAGUUAAGUAAAUCAUUAACCAUUUACCCCAAACUACUAAUGAAUUGAAAUUGUGCUUUUCAUGUGAACAGAUAGAGCAAGAACGGCCACAAAACACACCUCAUCAUUGUUGUGCAGAGAAGAACUUCCAGCGGCAUGUACUACGACUGCUGAACACGCUUCGCUUCAUGCUAGAACAACAAGCAGACACUUUGAACAAGUUGUGCGAUAUGCUCCCUACUUCUUCAGUCACCGAAUGCGCAGAUCUCUUAGGCCAUCCAGUAAGCAGUCUUGAAGAACUACAAGAGUUUGAUGACAAGCUCGAUGCUGGAAAAUUUAAGAUCCU
Molecule: unclassified non-coding RNA, 975 nt
Filed under: Dermacentor andersoni
Lineage: Eukaryota; Metazoa; Arthropoda; Arachnida; Ixodida; Ixodidae
Description: uncharacterized LOC126544211
Source: RNAcentral